AUCGCUUCUCGGCCUUUUGGCUAAGAUCAAGUGUAAAACUGUUCUUAAAAAAGUGUAUCUCAAAAAUAAAUGGAUAACAUGACCUUGAAUAUAAACACCCA
Molecule: small nuclear RNA, 101 nt
Filed under: Lynx canadensis (Canada lynx)
Lineage: Eukaryota; Metazoa; Chordata; Mammalia; Carnivora; Felidae
Description: U2 spliceosomal RNA (ENSLCNG00005005600.1)
Rfam family: U2 spliceosomal RNA
About the family: U2 is a small nuclear RNA (snRNA) component of the spliceosome (involved in pre-mRNA splicing).
Source: Rfam by way of RNAcentral